UAACUGAAGAGUUUGAUCAUGGCUCAGAUUGAACGCUGGCGGCAGGCUUAACACAUGCAAGUCGAGCGGGGGAAGGUAGCUUGCUACUGGACCUAGCGGCGGACGGGUGAGUAAUGCUUAGGAAUCUGCCUAUUAGUGGGGGACAACAUCUCGAAAGGGAUGCUAAUACCGCAUACGUCCUACGGGAGAAAGCAGGGGAUCUUCGGACCUUGCGCUAAUAGAUGAGCCUAAGUCGGAUUAGCUAGUUGGUGGGGUAAAGGCCUACCAAGGCGACGAUCUGUAGCGGGUCUGAGAGGAUGAUCCGCCACACUGGGACUGAGACACGGCCCAGACUCCUACGGGAGGCAGCAGUGGC
RNAcentral lists this ribosomal RNA (355 nucleotides) under Acinetobacter baumannii. Its description in RNAcentral is "bacterial SSU rRNA". It matches the Rfam family "Bacterial small subunit ribosomal RNA", at positions 1 to 358 of the family's 1533-position model. The record is from RNAcentral. Lineage: Bacteria; Pseudomonadati; Pseudomonadota; Gammaproteobacteria; Moraxellales; Moraxellaceae.